GUGAGGAAUUUUCCGCAAUGGGCGAAAGCCUGACGGAGCAAUGCCGCGUGAAGGAUGAAGGCCUAUGGGUUGUAAACUUCUUUUCUCAGAAAAGAAUUAUGACGGUAUCUGAGGAAUAAGCAUCGGCUAACUCUGUGCCAGCAGCCGCGGUAAGACAGAGGAUGCAAGCGUUAUCCGGAAUGAUUGGGCGUAAAGCGUCUGUAGGUUGUUUAAAAAGUAUUCUGUCAAAGAUUAGGGCUUAACCCUAGAUAGGCAGAAUAAACUUUUAAGCUAGAGUUUGGUAGAGGCAGAGGAAAUUCCCGGUGGAGCGGUGAAAUGCGUAGAUAUCGGGAGGAACACCAAAGGCGAAGGCACUCUGCUGGGCCAAUACUAACACUGAGAGACGAAAGCGAGGGGAGCAAAUGGGAUUAGAAACCCGGGUAGUCC
This 426-nucleotide ribosomal RNA is filed under the name uncultured bacterium. RNAcentral describes it as "partial 16S ribosomal RNA". It matches the Rfam family "Bacterial small subunit ribosomal RNA", at positions 354 to 796 of the family's 1533-position model. The record is from RNAcentral.